This is a long non-coding RNA of Gallus gallus (chicken), 529 nucleotides long. The record is from Ensembl. NCBI's taxonomy places the organism in Eukaryota, Metazoa, Chordata, Aves, Galliformes, Phasianidae.
AUCUCCAGAUAGAGAUCUAUCUGGAACCUCUUGGAACCCUUCUGUGAGCUUAGGACAUGGACAGCAAAGUCACAAUAGAAGAGGCUUGGGCAUUCCAGUUGUGUGAUGGCUCCACAGAUUGUGCCUCCUCAGUGCUUUGUAUGGGCAUUAUGGUCAUGCCCCAAGUGUUUCUGCAAACUGUUCUCCAACCUUUGCUUACCACCCUGUGCUUCUGUGCCCCUGGAGAAUGUGAAGGCACUGGGCACCCUGUGAAUGAGCCUGUUACUGUGAUUCAGCAACUCUACACUGCACAGCAUCUGUGCAUAAGGAAGAGAGAAAAUGCAAAGUCUGACAGAGAAGAGGUGACUGCUUAUUGGCAGACUUUGCUCUGCCUGGAUGUGUGAUGCAUUCACCUGUGCCAGCCAUGGCAGAGAAGCUGUGCUGCCCUUCUAGGGGAAGCAUCUCAGGACUUUUGGAAAAUAAAUACCUGCAAGUCUGCCUGGGUUAUAUAUGGUCCUCUUAUUUAACCCUGCAAUGGGUGUACUGUAAU